CACUCCUGCAACAAUUUAUCUAUGCUUAUGCAUGACUACUGCCUAUACACAUCUACAUUUUUGCUAUGUCUAUACUAUUGCCGAUCAGCAUUUUUGCUUUUACUAUGGCUAUGCUUAACCCGCUCUGUAAUUUGCCAUGCCUAAUCUAAGCUGCUUUCAAGUGCUUAAGUUAUAUUUAUGCCUAUGCUGCUGAACUAUCUGGCAGCCCUAUGCUUUGUCUCACUAUCAUUUAGCCUCAAAUUUGCUAAAGGAUAUCUUGUAAUUAGGUACAUAGGGCUUAUUUUACUCACAUUAGCUAAACAAUAUGGUCAUUCCAUGUGAUAGCUAGAAUGCUUGUGAUCUAUCCAUUCCACCAAACUAAUCUGAGGCCAAAGCUAUUGUUGUUUUAUUUUCCUUAGUUAAAUAAAUUUGAGCUCUCCAUUUUGCCAUGUAUUUUUGUAGCUGAACUUUUGAAUUAACACCUACUUUCUUCAGGGAUCUUUCAGGUGAAGGCGUAUUUGAUAUCAUUUCUGAUGUCUUGCAGAGUCAAGAUAGAAAGAUUGUUUCGGCUGGGACCCCAACCUACUGAGGUCAUAUAUUCUCCAACAAGAAGGGAAUUCUCUUCUUGGACUUCUGAUAAGGUGCCACUUUCUAAUGAACAAUGCAAUGGAGAAAAUCCUUGCCUUGACUUGACGGAGGGAGAAGUUUUUGGUUGUUGCAGCAGUUAGAUUUAUGCGGACUACAUAUACAUCUCUUUUGAAUGCUAGAGAACAAUCAUGUGUUCAGAGAAUUUGGGUCUAGAUAAUACAUAUUUGCUUGCCAGACAUGUUGUAAAAAAAGAGUAACUGAGUGAUAUUUUUUUGAAUCAGAAAUUGUUAUGUGGUGUUGUGAUUUGAAUGAUUUUUUUUGCUGGAUCACAUAUGGCCCACCUAUAAAAAUGCAGCCCAUCUGUGAUGAAAAA
Molecule: long non-coding RNA, 940 nt
Organism: Oryza brachyantha (malo sina)
Lineage: Eukaryota; Viridiplantae; Streptophyta; Magnoliopsida; Poales; Poaceae
Exons: 3
Source: RefSeq, a predicted model, not a curated record